Molecule: long non-coding RNA, 359 nt
Organism: Carassius carassius (crucian carp)
Lineage: Eukaryota; Metazoa; Chordata; Actinopteri; Cypriniformes; Cyprinidae
Exons: 2
Source: RefSeq, a predicted model, not a curated record
AAUAUACAAAUAAAUAUUGUGAAAAUCAGACAUGACCCGGUGCAGAAUCUAAAAUAAUGACACAUUAAUAAAUACUGUACUUCUGUCUCUCAUAGUCUUGUUUUUUUUAUGUAAAAUAUAAUAUUUACAUUUACGCUGCCUUCAAUUAAAAAUUUAAGAUUUUUAUGUGUUUUGCCCAUUUAUUUACAUGACGCUUCGGGGCCUAAAAAUGCAAACUUUAGAAAGUGGGUUUGGAAAUGCAUGUUUUUGAAAAUUACAGUUAUCUCUAUAGGUAUGUGCUCAGGCACAUAGUGUUUCGUUACAAAGUGCAACUACUGGCUUAGAUUACGUAAUAUAGAGUUUUUAGUCAGAAGUUUUCA